GAUGAACGCUGGCGGCGUGCCUAAUACAUGCAAGUCGAGCGAACAGACGAGGAGCUUGCUCCUCUGACGUUAGCGGCGGACGGGUGAGUAACACGUGGAUAACCUACCUAUAAGACUGGGAUAACUUCGGGAAACCGGAGCUAAUACCGGAUAAUAUAUUGAACCGCAUGGUUCAAUAGUGAAAGACGGUUUUGCUGUCACUUAUAGAUGGAUCCGCGCCGCAUUAGCUAGUUGGUAAGGUAACGGCUUACCAAGGCAACGAUGCGUAGCCGACCUGAGAGGGUGAUCGGCCACACUGGAACUGAGACACGGUCCAGACUCCUACGGGAGGCAGCAGUAGGGAAUCUUCCGCGAUGGGCGAAAGCCUGACGGAGCAACGCCGCGUGAGUGAUAAAGGUCUUCGGAUCGUAAAACUCUGUUAUUAGGGAAGAACAAAUGUGUAAGUAACUAUGCACGUCUUGACGGUACCUAAUCAGAAAGCCACGGCUAACUACGUG
RNAcentral lists this ribosomal RNA (497 nucleotides) under uncultured bacterium. Its description in RNAcentral is "partial 16S ribosomal RNA". It matches the Rfam family "Bacterial small subunit ribosomal RNA", at positions 28 to 507 of the family's 1533-position model. The record is from RNAcentral.